Molecule: ribosomal RNA, 301 nt
Filed under: uncultured bacterium
Lineage: Bacteria
Description: partial 16S ribosomal RNA
Rfam family: Bacterial small subunit ribosomal RNA
Source: RNAcentral
CAGUCGCCACGGGAAUACGUAGGUGGCAAGCGUUGUCCGGAAUUAUUGGGCGUAAAGGGCUCGCAGGCGGUUUCUUAAGUCUGAUGUGAAGGCCCCCGGCUCAACCGGGGAGGGUCAUUGGAAACUGGGAAACUUGAGUGCAGAAGAGGAGAGUGGAAUUCCACGUGUAGCGGUGAAAUGCGUAGAGAUGUGGAGGAACACCAGUGGCGAAGGUGACUCUCUGGUCUGUAACUGACGCUGAGGAGCGAAAGCGUGGGGAGCGAACAGGAUUAGAUACCCCGGUAGUCCCUGUCUCUUAUAC